GCCUUAGAAGCUAAAAUAGAAGCGCUGGUCUUGUAAACCUGAAACUGAGUCAACUCUCCUAAGACA
RNAcentral lists this transfer RNA (66 nucleotides) under Nephtys sp. 'San Juan Island' YV-2008. Its description in RNAcentral is "tRNA-Thr". It matches the Rfam family "tRNA". From Rfam's summary of the family: Transfer RNA (tRNA) molecules are approximately 80 nucleotides in length. The record is from RNAcentral. Lineage: Eukaryota; Metazoa; Annelida; Polychaeta; Phyllodocida; Nephtyidae.